ACGGCGACAUCCUUAGGAGAAACAGAGUGUAACUCGAUAGAUUUCCCUGAGGUUCUCGCUGCCG
RNAcentral lists this microRNA precursor (64 nucleotides) under Pristionchus pacificus. RNAcentral describes it as "microRNA ppc-mir-8222 precursor". Lineage: Eukaryota; Metazoa; Nematoda; Chromadorea; Rhabditida; Neodiplogasteridae. The record is from miRBase by way of RNAcentral.